RNAcentral lists this ribosomal RNA (450 nucleotides) under uncultured bacterium. Its description in RNAcentral is "bacterial SSU rRNA". It matches the Rfam family "Bacterial small subunit ribosomal RNA", at positions 29 to 524 of the family's 1533-position model. The record is from RNAcentral.
AACGAACGCUGGCGGCAUGCCUAACACAUGCAAGUCGAACGAAGCCUUCGGGCUUAGUGGCGCACGGGUGCGUAACGCGUGGGAAUCUGCCCUUGGGUUCGGAAUAACAGUUAGAAAUGACUGCUAAUACCGAAUGAUGUCUUCGGACCAAAGAUUUAUCGCCCAAGGAUGAGCCCGCGUCGGAUUAGCUAGUUGGUGAGGUAAAGGCUCACCAAGGCGACGAUCCGUAGCUGGUCUGAGAGAAUGAUCAGCCACACUGGGACUGAGACACGGCCCAGACUCCUACGGGAGGCAGCAGUGGGGAAUAUUGGACAAUGGGCGAAAGCCUGAUCCAGCCAUGCCGCGUGAGUGAUGAAGGCCUUAGGGUUGUAAAGCUCUUUCACCCACGACGAUGAUGACGGUAGUGGGAGAAGAAGCCCCGGCUAACUUCGUGCCAGCAGCCGCGGUAAU